AAACCCCCUCUUGUUCGUUUCCAGGGACUUCACCUUGAUGGCCGAAAAGCAACUGGAAAUCCUCCGCGGGUACGAGCUGCGGCUCUUGCGCUGCACCCUCGCUCCCCCACCGUCCGAUCUUCGCAUUCAAUCGCAACCGUUGAACGAAGAAAGCCAAUGCUCUCUCCUUCCACUCCACGAGCACAUCAACAGCCUCAUCGACUCCAUCGAGUCCGGCCACUAUCUCCAGGCUCUGUCCUCCGACGCGGCUAAACUCGUCCUGGACACGCUCGACUUCGUCGACCUCAACGACUCAGCCGAGUGUGCCGACCGCGUCUACUCCGCACUUCUCCAGCGUGUCGAAACGUUUAUUGUGAACGAUUCCGAAAAUGACGUGGAUAAGGCUUGUCGAGUUAUUCUGCUCAUGUGUCUUUCAAUUGCUGCUCUUUUUUGGUUCACUCAGUGUAACGUGACUGGGUGAGUUGCUUAUUUAUAAAUUUUUAAAUAAUUGCAAUUAAUAUAAUAAAUAUUAAUAAAAAAAAAAAGGUUUAGUGAUGAACUUUUGAACAUGAAUUAGUAGGCCUUCAGUUCUUAAUUUGCCAAAGUGUCGGUUUCCACUAGAAGUUUCAACUUUAGAAGGCAACGAAUUGAUAGAGUGGGAGAAUUGGGCGCGUUAUCAGCUCAUGUCUGUUGGCUCUGACUUGCUGGGAAAGUUCUCCUAUCUUCAGGUACUCAGUCUAUCCAAAAAUGAAUAGAUUCUAUUGCUUAGACAGUGUUAAUAUUAAUAUUAGCUUUUUUAACUUAUUUUACAUUUUGUGAUCUUUUUGUAGUAUAUAGUUUUUGCCAAAAUGUUGCUCAUCAAGACAAAAGAUUUGCUGUUUGAUGCAACUGUGUUGCCUGUGAAUGGGAUUAGAACCAUUUCAUGGUGGCUCACAAGACUCCUACUUAUGCAUCAAAGGAUUUUAGAUGAGCGGUCGUCUUCUUUGUAUGAUCUAUUGAAAGUUUUUAUGGCUGAGACUUUACAACAUUUUGGCACUUUGGAAAACGUAACUACUUAUUGGGGCAACCAGUUGCAUGAUAUCGAUCCUUCAGAGAUUGUUUCAACAGUUCAUUUGGAAGCAGGACUGUUAGAACACAUUUACAGGAGAGUUGAUUCUUGCAGGUGAGUUAUCCUGGGAAAGUUUUAUAUUCGGUGGUCUUAUUUCUGGCUACAUUAGAAAAGUUUUCUCUUGGAAACAUGUUAUUUCCAACAUGGAACUUGCCUGUAGAACUCUCUCAGUCAUUGCAGAUGAUUUUGUGCAUUGUGUGUGAGGGAGGUGCAAGAAUGAAGUUUUAUGUUUGGACUUCAUCAAAAUCUCCCAUUUUUUAAUGUAUAUUGUUUCAAUCAUCGAACAUUAGUUUGAGUUGUUAGCACUGGAAUUUGCAUUAACUGAUUACUAACUUCCAUCAUUACCAUUACUAUAGGACUUCUUCUAUAGUUUCUGCUGAUUUCUAAAAUGCUUUACGGUAUCAGGAAACGUUUUGAAUCAGCUGAAGUGGCAGCUGGUCUCCAGCUUUCGGUUACUGCGGUUCUUGGUUUCCGUACCAUCCACCAGGUAAAGAUCGAAUGUGCAUCAUUUAUAAAGUUGUCGGGAUCUACCUUCUUAGCUUUGAGAUUGCUCCUGCAUAUAGGUAGAGCCAAAGGCACAAAUGGUACUUGUUGCAAACACAAGCUCAUCCAACACUUCUGAUGCCUGCCCUUCAAUAAGCCAAGUCAUUCAUACACAUGAUUCUACUAUUGGUGAUGCCACUGAUGUUUUUGUGACCCCAAAAUUAUUGGGGAAUAGUCAUGAAUCUGAAACUGGAGUCCAAUGCGUUCAUGCUGGUGGCUCAGCAGCCCAUUUAAAGGCAAUCCAACAGGCAGUGAUCUUGUCGAAGUGCCUUCUAAUAGAAAAGAGCUCACGGCAAGAUGAAAUGCAAAGUAAGUUGUUUUAUGGUUGGGCAGUGCGUAGUCGUCUUGUUAAAUGCCAUAAGACGUUAAGCAUAUUGCUAUUUAAUUUUUAAAUCAUUCUCAGUAAUAAUUCCUUUAGUAGAUUGAUGAUAAGAGAUUGCAUUACAGAUGAUAACUGAGCACAAUUUUUGUAGUUGUAUCCCUGUACAUCCAUCUUAAUAUCCUCAUUAUAUUCACAUGCCUUUUACGGGUGUUAUUUCUGGAUGCUGAAUGCUUUGUUCCACUUCUGGAUACCAAAUGCUUUGUUCCACAAAGCUGAGCUGGUUGCAAAGCUAGCUGAUGAGGUCAACAUGUCCCUUAACUAAUUUGAGGAUGAACACUGUGUUCCUGAAAGUCUUACUCUAAUGAUACUUAAAGAAGCAAUGAGAAUGGAUGUUGCAGCAGCUUUGCCUGAACUCAACCCCAGUUCCAAACAUGGAACAUGUGAAAACCAAAAAUGCUUUGUUUUUUUCUCUUUAUGACUUCUCUAGUUGGGGAAUGUAUUAGAUAUUCACCUAAUCAGUAGGCCUUGAAGGGAUCCCAUGUUAGCCCCUUGAUGUUGGUCUGUAACUAAGUAAAUACUUGACCUUGAAAAAGCUUUUGGAUCUGUUGAUUUGGUCAUUUGCUGAUUUAUAGCUUGUUUUCUGAUUCAGGAUGGGAUAUGGCUCCAUACAUAGAGGCAAUUGAUUCACAGCAGUCGUCAUGCUUCAUUGUAAGUAUAUAUACAAUACAGUGUCAGUUUUUCUUGAUGUUAAAUUUCAUAUCUUGAAGUGGUACUUCUGAUUCUCACAUGAUUUUUCCAUCUUUCAGCUAAAGGUUUUCUGUGAUCUCUUACGUGUUAGAUGGGAGUCCACCCGUAGUCGCACAAAAGGGCGUGCUUUAGAGAUGUUGGACAAACUGGUAUGAUCUGUGAGCCUUUUCUUCUUAAAUAUUUUGUUGCCUAAACAUUUACAUUCAAAUCGACAAGAGUUGCUUAUCCAUCUAUAGAAGAUUCCAAACUUUCUGCAGCUAGUACUUUAUUGGACCCAAAAGCUUUUUUGCUUUUUCUAAGCUGCUAAUCAAGACUAGAUUUCUCUCCCUUAUAUCGCUAGAUAUCCCAUUAAUUGUUAGAUUUAAUUGUCUAGAGACAUUAUGUACUGUGAAAAUUCAGAUUUCCUCUGUUUUAAUCUCUAUUUUCUCUUAUUAUACAAUAGAGAAGAAUACCUAUUUAUAUACAUUACACCCUAAGAACAAAAUGGUAAAAACAGUUAGGAUAUUGCAAAUCAGUAUCCCUGAAAAUUAGGGAUUGUAUCUCCUAAAAUCUAGUAUUUAAGUCAACACAUAACUGUAAAAUACAGCUGACAUCUACAACAAUAGUCAACACACAGUUGUAAAAUACAACUGACAUCUGCAACACUCCCCCUCAAGCUGGAGCAUAGAUGUUCUUCAUGCCGAGCUUGCAUACAAACUCUUCAAACUUGUGUCCAAGUAUUCCUUUUGUCAACAUAUCUGCAGUUUGUUGUCUUGUUGGAAUAUACACCAAACAGAUAACUCUAGUUUCCAAUUUCUCUUUAAUAAAAUGUCGGUCUACCUCCACAUGUUUUGUCCUGUCAUGAUGGACAAGAUUAUGAGCAAUAUUAAUUGCUACCUUAUUGUCACAGUAAAGUUGCAUAGGACUGUUUUUGAUUAACUGCAGUUCUUUGAGAACACGUUCUAUCCACAUAAGCUCACAUACCGCAUGUGCUAGUACUCGAAACUCUGCUUCUGUACUGCUUCGUGCCACUACAGUUUGCUUCUCCACGUUACAAGGUUUCCCCACACCUUAGUACAAUAACUUGUUGUAGACUUCCUAUCCAUGACGUUUCCAGCCCAAUCCGCAUCAACAAAAGCUUCUACAUUCUUUUUUUCUCCCUUUUCAAAAUAAAGUCCCUUUCUCGGUGUUGACUUUAGGUAUUGAGCUUUUCUUGGAGAGUGCAUAAAUUGGCUCACUAAGCUAACAACAAAAGUAAUAUUAGGUCUAGUAUGGGAAAGAUAAAUUAAUCUCCUUAUUAGUCUUUGAUAUCUCCCCCUCUCCACGGGUGCACUAUUUUCUUCAAGACCCAACUUGCUAUUUGGUUCAGUUGGUGUGGCAGCAGGUUUACAGUCAAUCAUACCAGUGUCCUUUAGCAAAUCUAGGGUGUAUUUCCGCUGUGUAACUAGAAUACCUUUAGCUGUUCUAGCUACCUCCAUUCCUAAAAAAUAACGUAAUGGUCCAAGAUCCUUGAUUUCAAACUCACAAGCUAAUUUUGCCUUUAAUCCUUCCAGCUCUUCUUUGUCAUCUCUUGUUAGUAUAAUGUCGUCAACAUAUACACGAUCAAAAUAGCUAACUUCCCUUCUUUAGAGCGUUUGUAGAACAUAGUGUGAUCAACUUGCCCUUGAGAAUAACCAUAGUUCUUCAAGACUUUUCCAAAUCGGUCGAACCAGGCCCUAGGGGACUGUUUAAGGCCAUAUAGAGACAUUUUUAACCGACAAACUCUUCUAGCAGGUCCUUUUUCUUCAAAACCAGGCGGCAUAUCCAUGUAAACUUCCUCUUCCAAUUCUCCAUUCAAGAAGGCACUCUUGAUAUCGAGCUGGUUGAGAGGCCAAUCUAAAUUUGCAGCAAGAGAGAGAAAGAUCCUUACAGUAUUAAGUUUUGCCACUGGGGCAAAAGUCUCUAGGUAGUCCACCCCAUAGGUUUGUGUGAAACCCUUCGCCACGAGUCUUGCUUUGUACCGGUCUACACUUCCAUCAGCCUUAUAUUUGACUGUAAAUACCCACUUGCACCCCACAGUCCUCUUGUCUUUACGUCUUGGUACAAGCUUCCAUGUGUUAUUCUUUAUUAAGGCUGCCAUUUCUUCUUGAACAGCUUUCUUCCACUCAUUUGACUCUAAGGCUUUAUGGAUGUUUCUUGGAAUAGUGCUAUGAGAUAGAUUAGCCACAAAAUUUCUAUACUCUUUAGAUAGAUUUGCAUAUGACAAGAACUUGUAGAUAGAAUGUUUGGUGCAAUUUCUUACCCCUUUCCUUAUCGCAAUAGGCAAAUUUGUGGACUUCUGAGCUUCGUUCUCAGCAUAUUCAGUAGGUGGGUUUUGAUCCUCCCUGAGUUCAGAUCUUGGUUCUGCUUGGUCUAUAAGUGGCUGUACCUCUUGAGUUUUAUUCUUCCUUCGUGAAUAAACAUGAAACUCGCCUAUAGGUUCCUCCAAAUGUGAAUUGGCUUUUAUCCCUUCAUUCCUUGGUGACACUAUUGGUUGAUUAAGUUCUAUGGUGUUAGGUAGGUUAGGAUGAAUGUCUGGACUGAGGGAGGAGGUAUUUGGUAGAUUGAGUUGUAGGCUGGAACUGCUGGACAUAUUGGGUUCUAGGCUGGAAUUACUAGGCAUCUUAGGUUCUAAAAUGUCAAGAAGAUCCCAAGAAUUAUCUUCUCUCAAAUUCUGCCCCUGAAGAGAAUUACUCGGGUAAAAAGGCCGAUUUUCAAAGAACUUAACAUCCAUGCUGACAAAUAAUUUUUUUGUAAGAGGAUAAUAGCACUUGUACCCUUUCUUGGUAGGAGAAUAUCCUAGAAAUAGGCACUUGAUGGCUCUAGGAGACAGCUUUGUUCUUUGAAGACUUGGAAGAUAGACAAAGGCUGUACAACCAAAAGUUUUGAGUGCAAGAUUAGAGGUAACAAGGUGAUUUUGUGGGUAGCUGUCAAGAAAAACAUAAAUAGGUGUCUUGAAUUUAAGAACUUGAGAGGGCAUACGAUUUAUGAGAUAAGAUGCUGUAAGAAUGGCCUCUCCCCAAUAUAUUUUUGGUACAUUAGUUGUGAACAUAAUGGCCCUAGCAACCUCUGAAAGGUGUAUGUUUUUACGUUCCGCAACCCCAUUUUGUUGUGGUGUUCCGGAACAAGAACUUUGGUGGACAAUUCCUUGUUGUGAUAGGUAAUUCCCUAAAAUAGAAUUGAAAUACUCAGUUCCAUUAUCUGUACAGAAUACACGAAUGUCAGUUUAAAACUGAUUUUUUACCAUGGCAUGGAACUGUUUAAAAGUUUGUCCAGCUUCAGAUUUUUCCUUCAAAAGGUACACCCAAGUGGUCCUAGAGAGGUCAUCUAUGAAUGUAAUGAACCAUUUUGCUUUUGACAGGUUGUGAACCCUUGAGGGGCCCCAAAUAUCACUAUGAAUCAAAGAGAAAGGUUGGGAUGGUUUAUAAGUACGGGCAGGAAAUGGAACACGUGUUUGUUUACCCAUUUGACAAAAAUCACAAUAUAAUAAACUCAAAUCUUUAUUUUUAAAUAAGGAAGGAAACAAGGUUUUUAGAUAUGGAAAGCUAGGGUGGCCUAACCUAUAGUGCCACAACAUUAUUUCAGAAGAAACAAAUUCACAUUGAGAAACCUAAGCAUGUCCUUUCACGGGUCCUUUAUUCUCGAGAUAAUACAGCCCCUCAUAUUCCUUCGCAUUCCCAAUCAUCCUCCCCAAGAUUGGAUCUUGAAAUAGACAUUUAGAACCACAGAAUUUUGCUACACAGCUUGUGUCCUUGGUAAGUUUAUUAAUUGAAAGAAGAUUACAUUUAAGAUUUGGGACAUAUAAAACUGAAAAAAGAGUCAAACAAUCUGAUAGUUUUAUUGUUCCUUUUCUAGCAAUAGUGGAUAAUGAUCCAUCAGCAAUCCUCACUUUAUAAUUACCUGGACAUGGAGUGUAACUAGAGAAAAAUUGAGAAGACCCUGUCAUAUGGUCUGAGGCCCUUGAAUCAACAAUCUAAGGACCUUUUUCAAGGGAUUGGAUGUUAAGGGCUGAUGGGUUACCUGUAUGGACUGCAUUACAACCAGAGGAGGUCAAGUCAUUUCUUUUUGCUUGCUGAUUUUGUAUGAGAAGCUGUUGCAGCAUCUCAAAUUGAUCUUUUGUGAGGGCAAACUGAUUAGUUUUCUCUGUCACCAUUCCUUUUGCUUCCUGCUGACGUUUUGGUUUCCAAUCUGCUGGCUUUCCAUGAAGCCUCCAGCAUGAGUCUCGAGUAUGUCCUUUCCUGUGGCAAUAGUCACAGUAAGGACGUUCUCCAUGUUUUUGUCCCUUUUGGUCAGCUGACUAGUCUGUCUUUUUGGUCACCAGCGCUGAUCUCUCUGUCUCGGCUUCCUUUACCAGUCCCAUCAUGACUCUUUUUUGACUUUCUUCACGCCUUACCUCAGCAAAAGCUUCUUGGAUGGAGGGUAGAGGAUUCUUUCCCAAUAUUCUGCCACGAACUUCAUCAAGUUCUUUGUUGAGUCCAUAAAGGAAAUCAAAGAGGCGUUCUUUAUUCAACAUCCUCUUAUAUUUAAUGGCAUCCUCGGAGCAAUGCCACUGCGAUUCAUAGUAAAAGUCGAGUUCUUGGCAUAUAUUGUUUAGAGAACUGAAAUAUUGAGUCACUGAAAGACUCCCUUGUUUCUGGUCACGUAAUUGUGACUUGAUUUCAAAGAGCUGAGCUGCAUUCCCAAGGUCAGAGACUCAGAGUAGGUUUCUGUCACAGCUUCCCAAAGCUCCUUCGCAGAUGGUAGGAAGAGAUAAGUCCUACCAAUAUCCACGUCCAUCGAGUUGAUCAACCAAGCUUGCACCAUUGAAUUUUCAGCAUCCCACUGCGGAUAACUAGGAUCUAAGACAUCAGGGGCUUUGGUUUCCCCUGUAAUAUACCCUAAUCGGCCUUUGCCACAAAAAAAUAGGGUGACGGAUUGAGACCAUUGCAAAAGGUUUCUGCCAUUUAACUUGUGCAGAGUUAUUUGCAAAUAGGGGUUUUUGGUACCUAAGGAGACUGAAGAGAUGUCCUGCCUUGUUACAGAACCGGAGGAAAUCUCAGAUUCUUGUGCAGGGUUUGUUGUCUUCUCCAUUGGAUGGUUUGAGACUUUAGAAUUGGAAGAGGAGAAAAUUUCAGAGGCUCAGCUCAAAAGCUGCUCUAAUACCAUGUGAAAAUUCAGAUUUCCUCUGUUUUAAUCUCUAUUUUCUCUUAUUAUACAAUAGAGAAGAAUACCUAUUUAUAUACAUUACACCCUAGGAACAAAAUGGUAAAAACAGCUAGGAUAUUGCAAAUCAGUAUCCCUGAAAAUUAGGGAUUAUAUCUUCUAAAAUCUAGUAUUUAAGUCAACACGUAGCUGUAAAAUACAGCUGACAUCUACAACAAUAGUCAACACACAGCUGUAAAAUACAGCUGACAUCUGCAACAUGUACUUGCAUCUCUGCUUUUCACUUCACAACUGAUUUCAUGUGCUAUCUUGUGUUCUGGUUCAAGAUUUUUGAUGGUUGCUUAACAUCAUAUUUUGCUUUGUUUCAGGUUGAGGGCAUUUCUAAUUCUUCUCCCGGUGUGACUCAAAGGAUUCCCUUUUGUUAUGUGAUUUACGUUCCAACUAUUCCUGCCCUGCGAAAGUAAAACUAUUUCUUCUGCAUCUUUGAAUGAUUGUGAUUUAGUUUUCUUGUCAUUUUGCCAACUAUCAUUAUGCUGUCAUUGUUUCAUAUCUUAGUUGAUAUAUGUUGACUUGGUUAGAGUUUAAUUGCUCUGUUUAUUCUCUUCAUAAUCUGUCUAUUUCGAUUUUUCUUGAUUUUAGGGAAUUUGCUGAACUUUUAGUAAGCUGUGGCUUGAUUGGAGAGGCUAUUAAAAUUUUUGAGGAUCUGGAGUUGUGGGAUAAUCUAAUAUACUGCAACUGGUAUGGUGUCAUAGAUAACCAUUAUCCUAAUCUCUCUCUCUCUCUCUCAUGUUGCUAAUGGGAGUUGGUUUUGUGUAUGAUGUAAAAAACAGCCUAUUGGGGAAGAAAGCAGCAGCUGUUGAACUAAUAAAAGCAAGGCUGUCUGAAAAGCCUAAUGACCCUAGAUUAUGGUUUGUUGAUGAGCCUUUUCUACGAUCCAUUUUAUAGUUACUUCUCAUUUCAGUUAAAUCCAUUGUUGAUGUCACUUAUUGCAAUGUAGGGAUAAUUGUUCAUUGGAUGUGAGGAUAUUGUCAAAAGAAAAUGAAACAUUUUAAUUUUAUCUUUUACUUGCUGUAGCCGAUUUAAAAGCUCACAGUGCGUUCUUACUGAUUGCUUUUGGUCUUGCAUUUGAGUCAAUGGAUUUUAUACUCAUAUUCUGACAUUUAUUGUUAGUCUUCUGACGGUUCUGCACCUUGGUCCUAUAUUAUCUUCAGCAGUAUUAUCUAAAAGAUAAGUUUUUGCCGAAGAAAAUUUGCAUUCUAAACUAGAAAAUGAGGGGCCUGGGGGGGGGGGGGGGCGGGGGCGCAACAGGAGACUGUUUUCCACUUAUCCUCUUCCCUGCCUGCAUUUUAGAUGAUUCUGAUGCACCAGGUGCUGUGAAAUGGUUGAGAAAUACAUACCAUCAAGUGAAUUCUGAAAAUCAUAUCCUUCUUGAAAAUAUUUGGUGCUAGACAUUUGAAUAUAUGGCCACAAUUUAAACAAUAAAGAUUUUCUGCAUUGAUUUCUUAUAAUGGAUAUAUGCAUGUAAGUAAAAUAUGAUAUCUUUUGAUUAUUGGCCCAUUUGUUCAGAAAGAAGGAAAAAAAAAAAUACAUGGUGAUAAUGUAGCCAGAAUGAUGAGUUGAAUUGUGGGUUGCUGACUUGUGAUACAUUUUGUAGGUGUUCAUUAGGUGAUGUUACAAAUAAUGAUGCCUGUUAUGAAAAAGCUUUGGAAGUUUCGAAUGAUAAGUCAGCUCGAGCUAAGGUGAUAUUUGUUGCACAGAGAAAAUGUAGUUCACAUUAUGCUUGUACCGUGAUCAUUUUUUAGUUAACAUAUCUUUAUGUGAAUCAGAGGUCUCUAGCUCGUAGUGCUUACAAUAGAGGGGAGUACGAGACGUCUAAAAUCCUUUGGUAUGUUGCUUUAAUGCUUUACUUCUCUUUCUGCCACACAGUAAUUUGCUGCAUUGACAACUGAGAUGGCUGAAUGACAAUUUACCCUUGGUUUUGUCUCAGGGAGGCUGCCAUGGCCUUGAAUUCUUUGUAUCCAGAUGGCUGGUUUGCUCUUGGUGCUGCUGCAUUGAAGGUAUCAUAUUUUUGUAUUAGUAUGUGUUUAGUGUGGAGAGAUUUCUUAUCCUUUUGCCCCAAGUUUCUGAAACUCUCGGCUGAAAUAUAAAUACAGGCUCGGGAUGUUGAAAAGGCUCUGGAUGGGUUUACUCGGGCUGUUCAACUUGAUCCAGACAAUGGGGAAGCUUGGAACAAUAUUGCUUGCUUGUAUGCUCUUUUCUUUGUCAUCAUGUCAUUCCAUCCUCUUGCUCUGUAUUCUUUAAUAUGGUGUCAAUCACUUUCAUCUUCUAUCUGCAAGAGUAUGCUUCCCAUAUUUGGUUUACUUUGUUUUGACUUUCUUGUUGCAGUUGUUCUAUAUAAAUUUUAUAUGGUUCCAUAUUCCCUUGAUGAGUGAAUUUAGUUGCUGCAAAUGCUAAGAGCUAGAUAGUACUGUUAUAAUUAGGAAUAGGGCAAAUAUUAGCCAGCUCUUUUGAGGAUUAUCCAUAGCAUAUGCCUCCGUCGUUUUCAAAGCAAUUGAAGUUCUCCUUUUCGUCUUAUUUAAAAGAAAAAAGCACAAAUUGCUUCCCUCACAUCUCUCUACAGUCUCUUUUCUCUCUGUUUAAUUUUUUCUUGUGCUUAUUAUUUGUCUUUUAAUGCGUCUUUUCUUCUUAUUUUAUACUGUACUAGAGUUUGUGCAGUCUCAAUUUCAUCUUGUCUGUGACUUACUGUUUUUUUCGCAAUUGUGGAACUUUAUUUAGCAGCAUAAUUAUUAGUUAGUGAGACAUUAAUUGGUAAACACCACUUGUGAAAAGAUACGAAGAGCUACUUAUUCUCUCUACUAGUACAUUUAAAAAAUUCAUGAGAAAAUAUCUGGGAUGGUAAAAUUCUCGUCAAUUAUAACAAUGGAAGUCUUGAGAUUUAUGUAAUCUUGCAGGCAUAUGAUCAAGAAGAAGAGCAAAGAGGCUUUUAUAGCAUUCAAGGAGGCCCUAAAGUUCAAGUUCUGUUUUUUUCCCCCCUGAUCACAACAUUUUUAUUUUCUGUCAUGCACAAUGCAGUCGGACACUAUCUGAUCACUAGAACACUGUCAUACAUAAUUUGUUGCUGCUAGGCAAAAGGUGAUAUCUAAUGUAAUAACCUAUAACAUGAUUUUGUAACAGACGGAACAGUUGGCAAUUGUGGGAAAACUACAGCCAUGUUGCUUUGGAUGUGGGCAAUAUUGGUCAGGUAACCGCGGUUGUGCGCUUAAUUUCGAUCAUUUAUCACUGAAAUCUUUUGAGAUGAAGUUGGCAUUUUCUUAGCCACCCUCUGAUGGUUUUGAUUGCUUCAUGUAUGUUGUCAUCUUUGUCAACUAAUGAAAGCUGCAGAGAUUUUGUCAUCUUUUCAUUUAAAAGAAUUUGAUAGUUUAUAGCCCAUUGUCAUUUUUGCAUAUGUAUGUUAUUGUUCUUUUGACCUUUUUGUACCUCAGCUUCAUCCUUUUAUGCAAGCAAUUCGUUGUCAAGAAAUAUCUGGAUAACAAUUUUUUCCCAUGAAUAUUUUUACGCUCAUCAAGGUCCUUGAACAGUCAUGGUUAAUGGAUUACAGAUUCUCAAAUUUAUAAUUAUUUUUUUCAGGGUCAUUGUCCUUUGAUAUAUGCAACUUGAUGCAUGACUUUCUAAUGAUUAACUCCCUGCCCUCACCAUGGUCGUAUAAAUAUUUUGACAAGUGGGGAUUGUAUGAUUACUUUGUGCUAGGAAUUUUUUUGGUUGGAAAGAAAUGGGAGGAUUUUUCAAGAAGCUAGGGAGGGAAGACACCAAAUUAUUUUUGGUGGAUAAAGCCUGCUGUCACUUUGGGCAUCAAUUUCUAAUGAAUGCAAUAAUGUUCCUUUCUUUGCUAUUCAUUAAAAUUGAGUUGUUCUUCUUGGAUGGCCUUCUUUUUACUUCUCAUUAUUUUGCCAGCUUGUUGAUUGUCAUUUUUGCUUGUUGGCAGUCUUUUCCUGCAGUGUUAAUAAUAUUUAAUUAUAAUAUUAGACAUCAGUGUCCUCAACAUGAUCUCUCUCCCAAAUUUUUACUCUUUUAUUCAUUAUAGUUUUAGCAGUUUCUUUAUUUUUGUUUUAUUUUAUUUUUGCAGGCUCUAGAGGCUGUGCAGACGGUGUUGAACAUGACUAAUAAUAAAAGAAUUGAUACUGAAUUAUUAGAAAGAAUAGUGCUAGAUCUGGAAGGAAGGACUUCAAUUAUAGAAUCUGAGUCUUGCAGGACUACGCAUAAUCUUAACAGAACUAAUAACACUUGUGCAAAAGAUUUACCUGUAGAAUCUGUCCAUGUAUCAUCACCUGAGGAGUCAAUCAUGGGAAGAUCACGAGAAAAUGAGCACUUGAUGGAGUUUCUUGGGAAAAUUCUUCAGCAGGUUGCACAUGUUUCCGUGAUCAUCUUUUUUCCGUCUUUUAAUACUGAGCUAAGGGACAUUCUCUCUCUUUCACGCAUAUCCAAAACACAUGUACAUAUUUCUCAUAUUUCUAUGCGUAUAUAUUAUCAUUUCUGAUCUUUCUUAGUUUAUAUGAUAAUUGUCUUUGGGCAUAUGAUUCAUAUUUGCUGGGCAUCCUAUGGUCUGUGGGUCAAUAAUAAUCCAUAGUAUCUGAAUUUCUUGACAAAAUUGGUCAUUUUGGCAAAUCAUUUGGACGUAUCUAUGCAGCAGUUUACUAUUUUAGUGCUUGCAGGAAUUGGUAUGCUUAAAUUUUGGGCUUAAAUUGUGGGAAAAUAAUCAAAGUGAUAUGCAAAUUAAUUCAAGCCACACGAGGAAAGAAUAUCCUUUCUUUUUUUUUUUUUUUAAGCUUAUGUUACAUGUUUCUCUGUAUGGCAUAGGUAGUUCGAAGUGAGAGUAGUGCAGAUAUGUGGGGAUUAUAUGCAAGGUGGCUUAAAUGUAAAGGAGAUCUUACAAUGUGCUCUGAAGCCCUCUUAAAGCAAGUCAGAUCAUAUCAGGUUUUUCCAUAAAUCUCAUCAUCUUAUAAUAAGUUAGCAUUAUGUUUUACUUUGAUGUUGAUGGAAUUUGUUAAUGCUAAUCAAAUUUUGUUAAUCUCUCUCUCUCUCUCUCUCUUUUAAAAAGAAGGCAAAGAAAAAGCUGUGAUUUCAUUUUUGUUUUCUAAAUUUGUUAAAUAAAGGAAUGACAAGUUGACAACUCAGCCUCUCUCUCUCUCUCUCGCUCUCUCUCUGUGUCUGUGUCAGGGAUCUGAUUUGUGGAAAGAUAGAGAUCGGUUUAAAAGGUUUUCAUAUGCAUCCUUGGAACUUUGUAAGGUUUACACGGAAAUUUCUUCCUCUUCUGGUAGCCGUCGAGAACUCUUUGCUGCUGAGAUGCACCUGAAGAACGUACUUAAACAAGUAAAACACCUUAUAAUUUGAUAUUUAGGACACUUACAGUUGGUUUAAAGAUUGCAUUUUCCGUUUCUGUUUUUGACUGGUUCAGGGUAAAACUUUUUCCCACUGUGUUAGAGUGCAUUUCUGUUAUUAUAUAGUUUCUUAGAAGAGAAUGCGCUUUUUGGAAUCUCAGGCUGAAGGAUUUGCUGACAUGGAAGAGUUCAGGGAUCUUCAAGCUUGCCUUGAUGAAGUGAAGACGAAACUCCAAUCUGGUCCCGUGGCUACCUAAGUAUCAGGAACGUGCUAUUUUUGAAUAUCAGGAAUGUGCUAUUAUUUUAGUUCGUACUGUAGUUGAGACCUUAACCAUGACUGAAUAUCUUGUAUUGCUGUACCACCUUUUCUGUAACAAAACAGUCUAGUUUUAGUAUUUUUAUUAUUUUUGUAUUUUCAGUGCUGUAACUAAUCUCAUUUGACAAUGUAAAUAUAUGGCUUCAAGUUAUUUAAAUGUAAAAUCAAGUGUUGUUUUCAACCUCUGUUCUUUUAUGUAUAGCUUACAUGCCGUGAUUUCAUUAACCUCAAUUUAAGGACAAUUUCAUAUCUUUUUUCUUUCUGCUUUUCUUUUAUCAUUUAAGAACAAAUAUGAAUAUAUUUCAGACAGCAUUUAAACAAAGCAACCGAACGUCGCUGGUUUCUAUUAUUACAUUGACAGCAAUAAAACAAAGAAGCAACUGAAAGUUAUCUUCAUAUGAGAAUGAAAGCUUUUCAGCAGCAUAACACUAUUCAUUUCCAAACGAGUUCCUCAACAUGAGAACAAAUUCGUAGACCUUUUCUGGGUCUGGAAGGAUCCUGGCAACAGUUUCCCUUUGCAUGCACUUGUUCAUCCAAGCGGAGAAUUUGGGGCACUCAUUCGCAUCCUUAAAUCACCCAAAUUUCUCAACCGCGUAAAACCAACAAAUUUCUCAACCCCCAAAUUUGGGACAUCAACGAAUCCAAAGCUAUCCCCGCCAAAGAAAUCCUUCUCCCCUAAAGCUCCCUCUAGUUGCUUCAAUAUCUCUAUAAAUUCAUUCUUUGCCGUCUCCUGUGUUUUAAAAAAUCUAUUGUAAUGGAUCUAUUGUAAAUUUAUCUAACUGCUUGUUAUAAUGCUUCUAUUGCGGUGUUAUUCGAGUUGUCAUUUUCAGUUUUAUUUUAUUUGUUCUUUAAACAUAGUUAAUUUGAAAUGUUCUUUAAUAUCCAUUACACUUGAGAUCAUCAAAUAAGUGAUUCUUGAAUAUAAUUGCUGUUGUUACUCGAAUAAGAAAAGAAAACAAAAAAUAGCUAAGGUAAAAGUAAAUGGAAAUGAGAGCAACGUGAUUUUGCAAAGAGAACUUCACACUAUCAUAAAACCGAAAACAUUACAAUUUAAAGCUUUAAUAACAACACAUCAAAGUCAAAUAACGACCCACUAGAAUCAUGGUCCAAAGAUUGUGCCAUGAUCACAACAUGAACUACAAAAAAAUAACCAACACCAGAAAAGUAGGAACAGUUUGAAACUUUCAACUAAGCAGCAUUUAUGAUUCCACAUCAGCAGCCCUAAACACAUCUUCUAACAAUCGCAACUGCUCAUUUUUGCUUCUGCCAAUAAAGAGUUGAUUGUAACCAAAGAUUGUUGUCUUUAUUGUCAUUUGAGAGUAACAAAUUACUUACGCAGUCACGUAAGUUGUUGGUUGGCCUCGCACAUUUUUGAGAAGUUUGUUUCUGAAGGAAACCAGCUGAGCCGCAACCUCUUCCAUGCUCAUUCGUUCUCUCGGCAACUCUGAAGAGCAAAUGGCUCCGAUUCCCAGUACGGAAACCAAGCACUCUUUACCACUAAAACUUCUGGUCCAUUGUUUGUGAGCAUUGGCGUUGCUUUUCUCCCCUUCUUCUCUUUCUACAAGAAGCACUGGAUCAACAAUUUCAGCGAGUCUUUCAGGAAGAGCUUCCUUGACAAAAUUAUGUAGGGUUAGAUUGCCUGUAAACAUUUCAUUCGUCGGCCUCUUUCCUGUAAACAUUUCCAGCAAGAGUAUUCCAAAACUGUACACAUCUCCACUUGUUGAGACUUCGCUCCCCAUUCCGUACUCUGCAAUUCGAAAACUAAAAUUGUUGGUUCAACUAGUAAAAUCUCAAAGGAUUGAAAGACAAGUUAAUUAAAUAAUAGUAAUUACCUGGAGCAGCAUAACCAACGGUUCCUUUUACUCCAACAGAGCUUGAUUGAUUAGAUGACAAGUUAUUGGUGGCUUCCGGAAGGAAUUUUGCUAAUCCAAAAUCACCUACAUGGGCAGUCAAUUCACUAUCCAGAAGAACAUUGCUUGGCUUGAGAUCACAAUGGACUAUUGGAGUUUCGCAAUAAUGAUGAAGAUAAUCCAAUGCAGAAGCAACAUCAACGGCAAUACUCAGUCUUUGCAGGAGAUUUAGAUUCUUAAGUGCCUCACGGUUUGGAUGCAACCAUUCCUCCAGGCUUCCGUUAACCAUGAACUCAUAAACUAAAGCCUCGAAAUCAUUUCCUUGGAAGUCAACACUUGCACAGGAAGUUAUUAUUUUGACGAGAUUCCGAUGCCUAAUAUUUCUCAAGGCCUGACACUCCGCUAUGAAACUCUUUGAAGCUCCUCGAUGUUGAAGAUUAAGCACCUUAACUGCCACCAGCGUUUCAUGAUCAUCAUGAUUGAGGACUCCUUUAUAGACCGAACCAAAGCUACCGGCACCAAUCAAGUUUUCCAAAGAGAACCCGUCAGUUGCUUUGAACAGAUUCUCAUAGGACACUCGUAAAACCGAAGCCAAGAGAGCUGAUGGAGGAGUGGCCGGCUUCCUUUUUGAUUUGCCCCGCCAGGAAGUAAUUAUCAAACACGACAUCCCUGUUACUAACAAAAUUCCUGUAACAACAGGAAUAAUCAGUUUCAGGAAACGGGAACGUGAUUGCAUUGAUUCUUUGAUGGAACAAGUAGAUAAAUGCAACUCAGAUAUGCCACCACAGAGGUUAUCAUUUCCGUCAAGAGAUAUAGCACUCGAAUUGCUGAAGACUCCUUUUAUUGGUACUUCACCCUCAAAAUGAUUAAAAGACAGAUUUAAAUUCUGCAAAAAGGGAAAGUUUUCCAGAUAUUUUGGAAUUCGGCCAGACAAAUUGUUCCUCGAAAGAUCAAGAUUCUCAAUGCCUCUCAAAGAACUGAAUGAUGAAGGGAUAUUCCCUUGAAAGAAAUUACCAUUCAUGAUGAGUUGUACCAACAUAAUGCAACUUCCUAUACUGCUUGGAAUUUCACCAGACAAUUUGUUCUCCGAUAUGUCUAUAAAACCCAGAUUUUUCAAGAUACCAAAAUUAGAGGGCAAAGGACCAUUCAAAUGGUUUUGAGAUAGAUCAAGAUAGAUUGACAAGGAAGAGAGGCCAAUCACUUCAGUGGGUAUGGUACCACUGAGGUUGUUAUUGGAGAGAUCUAAUAAUAUCAAGUUUUGGCAUUUCCCUAGACUUGAUGGAAUGUUUCCCUCUAACAUGUUUUCCGCAAAAUCUAGUAUAGCUAACGAUGUCAAAUUUCCUAUAGAAGAUGGAAUUUCCCCCCAAAACUUGUUCCCCAGAAGCCACAACGUCUGCAGCUUAUGAAGAUCUCCUAUACUUCCCGGAAUUCGGCCUGUGAAUUGGUUGCCCCCAAGGUGUAAAAGCUCUAAGUUAACAAGAUUUCUUAAUCGAUUUGGGAAAUUUCCGAACAACUGAUUGUUUCCAACUAUUAAUAUUCUAAGUCGGGUUGACAAGUUCCCCACAGCUUCAGGUAACAUUCCACCAAAAUUGUUGUCACUAAUUUGCAGUAGCUCUAGUCUGGAAGCGUUGACCAAAGAAUUGACAAAUUCCAAGUCAUCCUUUUUCCCAUUUCCUAAGUGAUUCAGAUAAAAACUAACCCAUUGGAGUUUAUGUAAAUUUUCCAAACUAGGCACCUUUCCACUGAAUCCAUUCAUUGGGAUUGUAAGUCUCAUUAGAUUUGAGGCAUUGGAUAUUGAAGCAGGAAUAGGCCCAGUAAACUGAUUACCACCAACGUUUAAUCGUUCAAGAUUAGGCAGAGUGAAGCCUAAGUCUGAUGGAAGGCUUCCUUGAAGUUGGUUAUGAGGGAAAUCCAAAUAAUUAAGCGAAGACAAGUUGUAGAUUGAGAAAGGGAUUUCACCUGAUAGCUUAUUUACUCCCAAUAAUAUAUCACGCAUCCUCUUUAGCUGACCCAGUGUUUCAGGAAUUUGUCCCACAAAUUGAUUUGCAGCUGCUGAGAGGACCUCGAGUGAUGACAAAUUGCCCAAGGAAGAUGGGAUUUCUCCCGAAAAAUUGUUGUAGUGUACUGUGAGCAUCCGGAGCUUUGAUAUGGAGCCUAGUAACCCAGGAACUUUCCCCACAAGCUCAUUGACGCCUAACCUGAGGGAUUCAAGGUUAACGCAAUGCGAUAUGUUGUCAGGAAUUUGACCUCCGAAUGUAUUGUUGUUCAGCUCCAAAAUUCGUAACCUGAACAGAUAUCCAAUCUCUUGAGGGAUUUCGUUGCGGAAGCUAUUGUUUUUGAGAUCUAACACUCUGAGAAAACUCAAAUUACCAAUGUGAGGCGACAGAGACCCCUGCAAGAGUAAAGAUGGAAGACGUAAUCCAGUCACCCUUUGGUGCCGUCGACUGCAAGUGACACCUUUCCAUUGACAAAAGUGCCUGGAAUAGUUCCAUGAUCUCAAAACCUCAAGAGGGUCAUGAGUAACUUUGGCCUUGAAUUGAAGCAAUGCAAGUUGAUCAGUUUCAUUGCUUUUGAGCAUAUAAUCGGUUGAUUGCAAGCUGAAGCUGAAGCAACAUAAAAUAAAGAAACAAAUGCUUACAAUGAUUGAACUCAUCAUGUUUACAAAAUUCAUUUAACUGCCGAAGGAAAUUAAAAUGAUAAAACUUUUAUAGAGGUUUGUAAGAUAAAAUAUGUUUGUAUAUAUUUUGCAAUGAUUUAUGGACUCUGUCUUUGAUGCUCAAAUGUGAACCAGGUGGCACCGUGACAGUGAAACUAAUACUUUUUCUUUUUCUAAUAAUAUUAAUUAUCAUAUUUAUUACUAUUGUAAGAAUAAUAUACUGCAGCUUUAAAGAAAGACUCACCAUACUCUCUUUUGAGUUUAAUCACCAAUAUUGAAAAGGAAAAAAAAAGUAGGGCAAGAGAAAGGUAAAUACGAUGGGUGGAGUGUUAAGACUACUGUUAAAUGAGUUGGGAAACGUUCAAAGCACGAUGGGAAUUAAAGAUUCACAACACCUUUUUUCUAAAAUUUUCAAUACAGUCUCCCCCAAAAUUUGCUAGUGCAACAAAGAGACGUCGCGCCGUUAACAAUUUUAAACUGUAAAUGACAUGUCGUUUUCACAGAAUUCGUUUAACUGCCGGAGGAAAUUGAAAUUAUAAACUUUUAUAAAGGUUGGUAAGAAAAAAUAUACUUGCACAUAUUUUUUUUUCAAUGAUUUAUGGACGCUGUACUUGAUGCUGAAAUGUGAACCGGCUGGCACCGGGACAGUGAAAUUAAUGCUUUUUGUUUUUCUAAUAAUAUUAAUUAUCCUUUUCCUUUAAGGAAGACCCGCCACACUCACUUUUGACGCUCUAUCAGUUUCCAGCAUGUUGUCGUUUUGUAUUUUAGUGCAUUAAAGAAAUCCACAAUGAAUAUAAAAUAAUUUAAUCAACAGUAUUAGAAAAAGAAAAAAAGUAGGAUAAGAAAGUUAAGUAUGAUGGAUGGAGUUUCACAUUUCUGUUAAAUGACUUAGGAAAUGUUUAAAGCACCACAGGAAUCAACGUUUCACACGCUUUUUAGAUUUUUUUUCUAAAAGGAAAAAGAUAUUCUCACGAAAGAAAGUACAAAAUUUCACACAAAACGGUGCAUUUAAAUAAAGUAAAAUUGCAAAAAUACUCAAAAUAUAUAAGAUUGAUCAUUUACACCCUCCUUGUUUUUUUUGGGUGAACUAUUUCUGGAAAAUGGGCAGAGCCUAGUUUUGGUUCAAAAUUUGAAAUAACAAAUGGUAUAUUGGUGGAAAACCAACGACAUAUUUUCUAAUGCUUAACCUAAAUGGGAAUUAUAUCGGUUUGUACUGUCAAUAUAACAAACAACUAACUAAAUUAUUUAGAAGUCAUGAAUAAAAAUGGAUAGAACAAGAAGUAUAUUGCUAUUCGAUGCAAGAUGUUGGAUUAUUAAACCAUAAUAAAAUAAUAUAACUACACAUGUGCAAUGUUAUUCACUAAAAAGAUUUAAUUUAGAUAUUAAACAGUUAGUGCAACUGUAUCGAUCUCAUCCUCAUUAAUUUAGAGUUUGAGAACUCAUAAUAAAAGAAAAUAGAAAUUUAAACAUAGAUCCUAUCCUAUUAAGUAGAAUCAGAAAAGAAGUUUAUAGAAAUAAUUUUUCACGGAAGCAAUGAAAUAUUAAUCCGGUUGAUGGAUAUAUUGGUGAACACAUAAUAGAAUAUUAUAAUAGAUUUUUAUCUAUCAAGCAAAGGGAAGAAUAUAAUUGGAAUAACAAAAGAAUUAGAAGUAAAUAGUAAUAUGCUAAUAGGAUAUAAAGGAUUAUUAUUAAUUAUCGUAUUUGUGUAUAUAUAUAUAUAUUUUAAAUGAUUUAGGGACUCUGUACUUGAUGCUGAAAUGUGAACCGGCUGGCACCGGGACAGUGAAACGAGUACUUUUUUUAUUAUUACACGGCCUGUCGUUUUCAAAGAAAAAUUUUAUCAUGGUAUUCUUAUCCCCUAGCUGCCGUUUGUCGUUUGGAAUUUCUCUGUAUAAGAUUUUAAAGCAGCAAAAAUUUCGCCAUCUCGCGCCGGGGGGGUGGGGUGGGGGGAAGAUGAUGAUUCCGUGGAAUAUUAUCUUCGACUUAUCUGCUAUAAUCAGUGCUAACCGAUUUUGACACAUUUGCAGUAACGGAAGGGUUACAAUUACACGAGAUUGACACGAGGUAAUUAGCUAGUCAAGUCUCCGUGGGAAAAUUGUAAGCACUCAAGACUUAAAAAAGACUUUAUAAAGUAAGGCGUAUUAUGGAUGGUGUGGUUUGAUUCUCACUUGCAUCAAUUGUUCUUUUCAUUUUUCAUUGGAGGAAAGGAAAUUCAAGAGCCUGGUGUAUCUAGCAAAUUUUGUAACACGUUCUUGUAAGAUAAAAUAAAUAAAUAAAUAUAUCGGAUCCUAUUUCAUAGUUUAGUUAUAGGGUUAUUCGGAUGUCUGAAUUCAAAACAAGUUAAGUUUAAUCUCUAAAUAAUUUUGAGGAAAUCUUUCUACAAGGAGAGUUUGAAAUCAAUCACUACCCAUGUGUCAUUGGUCAGAUAAAUAGGUUAAGAACUCUAAUCCUAUCCCGACACAAAAAAAAAUCGUAUCGACUCGGACCUAGUCCAUUUUAAAUAACGGUUUAUUUAAAAUAAUUAUUUUUAUAAUAAUAAUUACUACUAUUAGUUGUCCUAUUAUUAUUAUUAACAAUAAUUAUUUUAAAUAAAAAUUGUAAUUAUUAUAAUAAAUGAUGACAAUAAUCAACUAAGAUUAUUUUGGUAUUGUAAUAAUCAAUUCCAAUUCCAAUAAAAAUUAGAUACAUUAGUGACAAUAUAAAUUAGGGUAGGGGUGGGCAAAUUCGGUUUGGAUCGGUUUGGGACAUAUCCUCAAACCGAUCCAAACUAAUCGGUUUGAAAUAUUUUCAAACCGAUAUCAACCUAAAAUUUUUUUAAACCGAACUGAUCCAAACCGAUUGGAUCGGUUUGGAUCCGGUUUGAACUUAUUAGCUAAAAUUUCACUUCUUUUAUAUUAUUUUACCUAAAUUAUUUGUUAUUUUUUUGUGUCCGCAAUCUAAAUUGAUACCUCUUUUAUAUUAUUCAUAUCUACUUUGAUAUCUACAUAACAAUUCAAAGAUACAUCCAUACAAGUUUACAGCAUAAUACAUCCUAAUAAACAAGUUCUUAACCUGUUCAUUCAAAACAAACUCACAAAAUUAAAAUAAACUUAAACCACACUUGACAAUUAAAAUAUUGUGCAUCUUGUCCGUCAAAAUUUAUAGUCCAAUUACUUUUGAUUUGUUAAAAUCUGCAUAAAAUGAUAAAUAUAAUUAUUUAGAUUGAUUAACUUAAAAUAUAAUGUAAUUAUAUAAUAUUUCUGGAUUGGAUCGGUUUGAAUCGGUUUGGAAUCCUUCCAAACCGAGUGAUGUCGGUUUGCAAUCCAAUAAACUGAAACCAGUUUUUUUACUAAUGAAACCGAUCCAAACCGAUCCAAAAGGUCGGUUUGGAUCGGUUCGGUUAAAAUAUGCCCACCCCUAAAUUAGGGGUUAUUUUUAGAAACCUCCCCUGAAGUUUAGUGUAUUGACAGUCGGAUAGAAAGUAUUCAUAUAAUUACAGGGACCUCCCCUGACGUUAGUAUUCCGCUAAGUGGACUGUCAGUUGACUAUUGAAAUUCCAAAAAUGCCCUUGCCGCAAAAAUAUAUUUUUAACAUAGAGGAGGUUGCGCUCUGAUCCUUUGUUCUGAAUUCAUUUUUUAUCCUUUGUUCUUAGUCACGGUAUAUAAGCCCCAUCCUUACCAAACAAAAUUUUAGAUCAAACAUGCUUAAAGAAAAUGGAUAAUGCAACAUCUAAAAUAAUUUUAAAACACAAAACAACAAAUACUCCACAUUUCAAAGUAAUAAAAAAAUAAAUAAUCGUAGUGCAAAUAGAUUAAACCUGAGCAGAUUUAUAGGCAUUAAGAGUAUUCUCAACGGCGACUUUCCUCUCAUCGCCAGUCUUAAACUCAGCCAAGUUAAGCAAACUCAUGUCGAAACCAAAAUUAGAAUUUAGAAAGGAAAAAAACAGAAUUGAGAAUCAAUUUAUUUUUUGGGAGCACGUGAGUGAUGAGUUUUGGAAUCUAAAAUGAUAUCAAGUUAUGAAGUAUUUUUGGUGUAAACGCAACAGCCAUGAGAGGAGAGUGACGAGAAACUUCCAAAAAGAGGUGAAAAAAAAAACAGAAGAGAAAAAGGCCAAAAGGAAAAAGACUCAAAAAAACAAAAACAGAGAGGAGACGCAAGGGCAAUCAAGCAAGCAGACAAACAAUUUAAAACCUGAGCAGAUAAUCACCCUUCAUCUUCAAAUAAAACACCUUGGAAUCGGCAGCGGCAGCGGUGGGAACCAAUUUCUGGUCCAAUAAUUUCAAGAUCCCGCCACAGGAUCUCCAUCAACUCGGCUUCGAUCUUCGAUCUGUACUCCUUAAUCACGGAGACAUGGUCUUGGUUGCCGUGCGACUCGUCCUUCUGCUCGAUGGAGGACACGAUGCACCAAGAGGCGCGCCGUGCGCCGAUGACGUUCUUGUAGGCGACGGAGAGGAGGUUCCUCGCUGGUCGAGGCAGAGACGACGACUUUUUCCAUGUAUUGGACCAUCUCCUCGUACCACUCGGCUUGCUCCGCAAGUUUUUCCAUGUAUACGUUUUCUUCCCGUGGAGAAGGGGCUGCCAUUGUUCCGUUCAGUUAUCUUUGUGUUUGUUUGAAUUUUGUUUUUGUUUAAAUUUUAAAUUUAUUUUUACGUAUUUACCCUUUAUAAUAACGUUAUACGUAUUUUUGUAUUAACGUUAGGGGAGGUCUUUGUAAUUACAUGAAUAUUUUCUAUCCGACUGUUAAUACACUAAACCUCAGGGGAGGUCCCUAAAAAUAACCCUAUAAAUUAUUACAGCUAAAAUAAAUAAUUUAUAAUAAUUCUAAUUCUUUAUUUCAAUUCUAUUUUGAUUCUAUCUUAUUCCGAUUACUGAUUGGUAAGCAUACCACUAAACGAAAUGAAACUGUCCAUACACAAUAAAAUCUCUUUAAUUGAUCAUCUAGCCCAGCUAAAAUCAACGGUCCCGAAAGAAACAAUUUCGGAACUACUCAAGCCUGCAAAUCUUGCACUGUCGUAGUAAGUUACAGGAAUUUGAUUGGACGAUGUAAUAAAGAUGAAGGAUAAGAUCGCCAUUCGCCAAUCAAUUUUCUGUCCGCAUCAAGCAAAUAGGCCAUCUGUGAGGCGCAAAAUGAGUUAAAAAGAUGGAUAAUUUUGGAAUCCAUUAAUCCACAAUGAACAUAAAACAAUUUAAUCAACAGUAUUAGGAAAGAAAAGAAAAGUAGGAGAAGAAAGUUAAGUAUGAUGGAUGGAGGUUCAGAUUACUGUUAAAUGACUUAGGAAAGGCUUAAAGCACCACAGGAAUCAACGUUUCACAAAGCUUUUUUCCCUUUCUGAAAUAUUCGGUGCAGUCUCCCCCAGAUUUUGCCAGUGCAACCAAGAGACGUCAUGCCGUUAUCAAUUAUAAACUGUAAAUGACAUGUUGUUUUUACAAGACAUAUUAUGCGUCGAUACAUACCUAUGAAUGGGUUCAAGAAAUUCAGCAGGUUGCGAAACAAUAAGAUUCAUUCAAUCCGCGUAGAUAUCUGACUGACUGAAAUUAAAUAAACGAUGAUGAUAAGAAAUUUGAAAUCAACAAAUCUCGGCACAUCUAUUCUGCAGUUUGGCCGUACUUCAAAUAACCUUGCGAUAAAAAUUUCAUAAAAAAUCUCAGAAAGAGGACAGAACAACCAAGGCAUCAGCGAAAGCAAUCGAGGCAGGGCACGCUCAAGCCACGAAUUAGAGGAAUUUUAAAUAUCAAAACCUGCUCAGAAUAAUAAGAAAUAAAAUGAAACUACAAAAGGCUCAGAUUUUUGGAUGAGUGAAGGGAAGAUGAGAAGAUGAAAUGCAGAAAGUCAAGAAAUGAAUAAACCAAUAUUAAUAAUCUUGGACCCACAGCUCUAAUUUGGAUUAAGCAUCCAUCUACCUAUGUGGAUAAUAUUUUUGCUAACUUUUCAGCCAUGCAGCAGGAUCAUGUUCGUCCUGUUUUAUUUGAUAGAAGGAAUUUUCCCCUGGAAGAAAAUGAUGAGUCGUUUCAACGUCAUGCAACUGCCUAGACUGCAUGGAAUUUCACCAGACAAUGACAAUUUAUUCUCAGAUAUAUCUAACGCCCCCACAUUUGCCAAAUUUGAAGGCGUCCGUUUUGAGACUGAUAAAAACGUUUUCCAAAAAUUCGGGAUUCAGGUCGAUCAGACCGGUUAUGUUUUGCAAAACUUGUAAAUUUUCAGUGAUCAAAAUUCAAAACUUUGCAAAUAGGUCAAAAUAUGAAAAAUACUUGAUAUAUUAUUGAAUACUCAUUUUGUUUUGCAUUAAUAUACGGCUGUGGGUGCUAUCUAGUUCUAUUAGUAAAAUUCCUUGGGUUGAAAACAAGAAAACUAGCAUUUGAAACUCACCCAUAUGGAUGGGAAAGAAAUUUAGUUACCAUUGGAUUAAAAAAUAAUAAUAACAAUUAGAAAAAAAUUGUAAGGCUUCGACAAGAUUUGCUAAUCAUGUAUAGAUUAAUAUGAAGAUUAAGAACAUCACCUAAGCCAAUUAUUGAAAUUGAAAUUUUAGGAGAAAAAUUUAUGUGGGUUUGGCCACCAAUUUAGCAUUAGGAACUUAUUGUUUAGGAAGCUAUGGUGGGUUUCGUAGUGGGACUUAUCCUCUUUAAUGCAUAUGGUGAUUUUAAACCAACAUUUAUAUAAUCCCAUUAUAAAACUCAUCAAACCUUCUAAAAUAACUCGUUGAGAUAGUGUGCUAGAUCCAUAUAAAUAUUUCUCCAACUUCUUAGCUUGAAGCGAUAUUCAUUUCCAUUGAUAGUUUAAUGGGCAAAGCCUUUUGAAUUCUCCAGGUUAUCAAGUUAUUUUUUGCUGGAAAAUGCAAUCCGGAUAUGAAUAGAUUUUUUUGUGCAAUCAAAUUUUCUAUGUUGACGCAUCCUCUAGAACUUUCAGUAAAUUUUAUGGAGAAGCUUUAAUUUCUUAGUUGUUGAUUUCGAAUAAAAAAUUAAACUUAACUUUAAAAUUACAGUUGUAAUUAUAAAAUAUUUACUGAAUACAUUAGUGUUAAUACUACAAAUUGUUCCAUUAAAAGUCUCUCAAAAAGGAAGAAGUGACUUAAAAAAUUAAAAGAAUGCAGGAGCUGAAGUUGGCAAUUUUGUAAAUUGCAAUGGCAAUUGUGGGCUAGUAAAAUCCCUCAAUGAGUCACAGCACUAGCAAUUUCGUAAUAUACAUUAGUGGCAAUUUUGUAAAAUUGAAGUUGUGAUAGUUUUGCAAAUAAAAGUAAAAGCUUUUUGCCUAAAUUCGGCUGAGCUAAAAGCCAGCUUAGCCCACACUCUCCUUCGCCACCGGUUGACGAGCUCUUCCUUCAAUUUUUGAACUUGAAGUGAUGCCCCAUCGAUGUCCAGAAUUUUUAAAGUCAGAAUGAUGAUCCUAAUGAUUCUUUUUAGAUAGUCACCUGUACGUUGACGUGUUUAAUUGAUGUUUAUUUAAGCAGAAAUUGAAGUUUGAUCCCUGAUUAAUUAGAUGAGAACACACAUUCAUGAGUAAAUACUUAAAAUUAAAUUAAUCAAAAUAGUAUAAAUACAGGAGAAAAUCGAUCAUAUGCGUGCAGACAUCACAAUCGAAUUAUAUAUAUCACCGCCGCACAUAAAUUUGAUUCCCAUGAUAUGUGAUUAAUUAAUUAAUUUUUUUAAUAACAAUUAAAUUGUAAUGUCAAUUGUCCACAUAAGUUUUUUGUUUUUGUUGAUGAAAGUUAGUAAUUUUUUUCCAUCUUUUUAAAUAAAAGUUGUUAAUAAAUAUCAAGAAAAUAUUGGGACUUGAGAUCAGGGUCUACUUAAGUUAGAAUUUUUUAUUAGAAAAGCUAUAGCCAGCGAUGAAAAAUAAAGAAGUAACACAAGAUAAAGAGUAAAAUGAGAGAGCAUAUAUUAUAAAAAGAUUUUACCCAUUUCAAGUGUGCACCAAACAAAGAGACGAACUCUCAUUUUAUAGUUACAUAAUUAUUACAUGAAAUUAAUAAAAAUAUUAAGAAUUAUAAUUCCUUGCGAGAUAGUGGGAGUUAUAGAAAAGUCAAGAGUUGUUAGUGGAAGAUAGCAAGAAGAGUAAAAAAUAUAUGUUAUGAACAUUCACAUUUAUUUUAAUAAAUUUACAGUAUUUUUUUCGUUAAAUAAUAGGGUGUGGAGAACAAUUGGAAGGACUUUACGUGUGUUUAUAUAUUGACAUAAAAAUUGCAGGACGUGUAGUUUAGCGUUUCUUGGUUGUUCAGUGCUAGUUUUCUAAAUCUCGAGCGUGCGGGUUAUUUUUCGUUACCUUUAUCACCGAAAGGCUGUUUUAACCAACUAAGAACUAAAAGCUAAAACCCAAAACCCCCCUCUUGUUCUUUUCCAGGGACUUUACCUUGUCCUUGAUGGCCGAAAAGCAACUGGAAAUCCUCCGCGGGUACGAGCUGCGGCUCUUGCGCUGCACCCUCGCUCCCCCACCGUCCGAUCUUCGCAUUCAAUCGCAACCGUUGAACGAAGAAAGCCAAUGCUCUAUCCUUCCACUCCACGAGCACAUCAACAGCCUCAUCAACUCCAUCGAGUCCGGCCACUAUCUCCAGGCUCUGUCCUCCGACGAGGCUAAACACGCUCUCGACACGCUCGAUUUCGUCGACAUCAACGACUCAGCCGAGUGUGCCGACCGCGUCUACUCCGAGCUGCUCCAGCUUGUCGAAGCGUCUAUAGUGAACGAUUCCGAAAUUGACGUGGAUAAGGCUUGUCGAGUUAUUCUGCUCAUGUGUCUUUCAAUUGCUGCCCUUUUUUGGUUCACUCAGUGUAACGUGACUGGGUGAGUUUCUUAUUUAUAAAUUUUUAAAUAAUUGCAAUUAAUUAAUAAUAAAUAUUAGUAAAAAAUUAAUCAAAAAAAAGGUUUAGUGAUGAACCU
Molecule: long non-coding RNA, 26883 nt
Filed under: Citrus x clementina
Lineage: Eukaryota; Viridiplantae; Streptophyta; Magnoliopsida; Sapindales; Rutaceae
Description: Citrus clementina (C. clementina) long non-coding RNA (CCLE_LNC003585)
Source: RNAcentral